This 125-nucleotide microRNA precursor is filed under the name Brassica oleracea var. oleracea. RNAcentral's name for it is "MIR9563 microRNA precursor family". It matches the Rfam family "MIR9563 microRNA precursor family". Lineage: Eukaryota; Viridiplantae; Streptophyta; Magnoliopsida; Brassicales; Brassicaceae. The record is from Rfam by way of RNAcentral.
GGAAUAUAAGAACCCGUUUCUUAACUUUUAACUAAAAAAGCUAAGAACCGGUUCUUAAAUAAGAAUUUUAAGAACCGGUUCUUAAUUUUUUUAGUUAAAAGUUAAGAGACGGAUUCUUAUAUUCC